UACGGAGGGGGCUAGCGUUGUUCGGAAUUACUGGGCGUAAAGGGUUCGUAGGUGGGAAGAUAAGUCAAGUGUGAAAUCCCUAAGCUCAACUUAGGACGUGCAUUUGAAACUAUUUUUCUUGAGUAUUGGAGAGGGUCGUGGAAUUGCUGGUGUAGGAGUGAAAUCCGUAGAUAUCAGCAGGAAUACCAGAGGCGAAGGCGGCGACCUGGCCAAAUACUGACACUGAGGAACGAAAGCGUGGGGAGCAAACAGG
Molecule: ribosomal RNA, 253 nt
Filed under: uncultured bacterium
Lineage: Bacteria
Description: partial 16S ribosomal RNA
Rfam family: Bacterial small subunit ribosomal RNA
Source: RNAcentral